AGCGAACGCUGGCGGCAGGCUUAACACAUGCAAGUCGAGCGGGCCCUUCGGGGUCAGCGGCGGACGGGUGAGUAACGCGUGGGAACGUGCCUUCUGGUCUGGAAUAACCCUGGGAAACUAGGGCUAAUACCGGAUACGCCCUUUUGGGGAAAGGUUUACUGCCGGAAGAUCGGCCCGCGUCUGAUUAGCUAGUUGGUGGGGUAACGGCCUACCAAGGCGACGAUCAGUAGCUGGUCUGAGAGGAUGAUCAGCCACACUGGGACUGAGACACGGCCCAGGCUCCUACGGGAGGCAGCAGUGGGGAAUAUUGGACAAUGGGCGCAAGCCUGAUCCAGCCAUGCCGCGUGAGUGAUGAAGGCCUUAGGGUUGUAAAGCUCUUUUAUCCGGGACGAUAAUGACGGUACCGGAGGAAUAAGCCCCGGCUAACUUCGU
This 432-nucleotide ribosomal RNA is filed under the name uncultured bacterium. Its description in RNAcentral is "partial 16S ribosomal RNA". It matches the Rfam family "Bacterial small subunit ribosomal RNA", at positions 29 to 506 of the family's 1533-position model. The record is from RNAcentral.